AACGAACGCUGGCGGCAUGCCUAACACAUGCAAGUCGAACGAGACCUUCGGGUCUAGUGGCGCACGGGUGCGUAACGCGUGGGAAUCUACCCUCAGGUUCGGAAUAACUCAGAGAAAUUUGAGCUAAUACCGGAUGAUGACGUAAGUCCAAAGAUUUAUCGCCUGAGGAUGAGCCCGCGUAGGAUUAGGUAGUUGGUGAGGUAAAGGCUCACCAAGCCGACGAUCCUUAGCUGGUCUGAGAGGAUGGUCAGCCACACUGGGACUGAGACACGGCCCAGACUCCUACGGGAGGCAGCAGUGGGGAAUAUUGGACAAUGGGCGAAAGCCUGAUCCAGCAAUGCCGCGUGAGUGAUGAAGGCCUUAGGGUUGUAAAGCUCUUUUACCCGGGAUGAUAAUGACAGUACCGGGAGAAUAAGCUCCGGCUAACUCCGUG
RNAcentral lists this ribosomal RNA (433 nucleotides) under uncultured bacterium. RNAcentral's name for it is "partial 16S ribosomal RNA". It matches the Rfam family "Bacterial small subunit ribosomal RNA", at positions 29 to 507 of the family's 1533-position model. The record is from RNAcentral.